This 819-nucleotide long non-coding RNA is filed under the name Homo sapiens (human). RNAcentral's name for it is "HSALNT0139652". Lineage: Eukaryota; Metazoa; Chordata; Mammalia; Primates; Hominidae. The record is from RNAcentral.
ACUGGCACAUGUCUACAAUAUUCUCCUUAAUUUGUUUUGGCUGCAUACUCUUGGGUCUCUUUGUAAUUUGGCAGUUGUCUAAUACUGCUUUUUUUCUUUCUUUCUUUGAGACAGGAUCUUGCUCAGUCUCCCAGGGUGGAGUGCAGUGGUGCAAUCCCAGCUCAGUCACUGCAGCCUUGACCUCCCAGAAUCAAGCAGUCCUCCUGCCUCAGCCUCCAGAAUAGCUGGGACUAUAGGCUCAUGUCACCAUGCCUGGCUAAUUAUUUUAUUUUUAUUUUUUGUAGAGACGGGGUCUCACUGUCUUCCCAGGCUGAUCUCAAACUCCUGGCCUCAAGAAAUCCUCACACCUCAGCUUCCCAAAGUGCUGGGAUUACAGGUGUGAACCACCACAUGUGGCCUAAUAUUGCUUAUUAAAAGAAUAGAAAGAUAAUAAGUUCUGGUCUGUAGCAUUAGUUAUUGAAUUGUUACAAGUUGUUAUUAUUACUAUUGAGAGUUUUGAAAAGUUUAUUUCGGCUUCACAGUUCUAUAUCCACGAUGCUGCAUCUGUACCUUUCUUGGCAGUUCCUUGCUUGGGUGAAUCUCUUGCUGGGAGAAGUCCUCAGAAAAUUCAGGCCGUUGUUUUUUCUUGGGCCCUGACACUUGCUGCUUCUUGCAGUUCCAUCUCUGCAUGAUCCUUUUUGCUGCUACAUUUUCAGAGUUUGCGGAGAGGCUGAGCGUCGGCUGAGAUGGCCAUGAAACUUUAUUGUGAUAUUGAUUUUUCUGUAGUGAUCUGGAACUGAACUUGCAAUAUUUGCAAGAUAUAUAAAUCUCAGGAUUCUA